ACUCCUACGGGAGGCAGCAGUGGGGAAUAUUGCACAAUGGGCGCAAGCCUGAUGCAGCCAUGCCGCGUGUGUGAAGAAGGCCUUCGGGUUGUAAAGCACUUUCAGUUGUGAGGAAGGUGGUGUCGUUAAUAGCGGCAUCAUUUGACGUUAGCAACAGAAGAAGCACCGGCUAACUCCGUGCCAGCAGCCGCGGUAAUACGGAGGGUGCGAGCGUUAAUCGGAAUUACUGGGCGUAAAAGCGCAUGCAGGUGGUUUGUUAAAGUCAGAAUGUGAAAAGCCCGGGGCUCAAACCUCGGAACUGCAUUUGAAACUGGCAGGACUAAGAGUACUGUAGAGGGGGGUAG
This 344-nucleotide ribosomal RNA is filed under the name uncultured bacterium. RNAcentral describes it as "bacterial SSU rRNA". It matches the Rfam family "Bacterial small subunit ribosomal RNA", at positions 335 to 664 of the family's 1533-position model. The record is from RNAcentral.